CAUUCAGUAGCCCAGCUACUUGUUUACACCCUUGUCUUUUUGCGUACUUAUCGUUUCCUCGGCGGGCUUGCCUGCCGGUUGGACAACUUUAUAACCUUUUUAAAUCUUCAAUCAGCGUCUGAAUAAUAUACAAUAAUUA
RNAcentral lists this unclassified non-coding RNA (139 nucleotides) under soil metagenome. Its description in RNAcentral is "partial internal transcribed spacer 1". RNAcentral also lists the same sequence under 1 other name. The record is from RNAcentral.